RNAcentral lists this ribosomal RNA (253 nucleotides) under uncultured bacterium. RNAcentral's name for it is "partial 16S ribosomal RNA". It matches the Rfam family "Bacterial small subunit ribosomal RNA", at positions 524 to 776 of the family's 1533-position model. The record is from RNAcentral.
UACGGGGGGGGCAAGCGUUGUUCGGAAUUACUGGGCGUAAAGGGCUCGUAGGUGGCCAACUAAGUCAGACGUGAAAUCCCUCAGCUUAACUGGGGAACUGCGUCUGAUACUGGAUGGCUUGAGUUUGGGAGAGGGAUGCGGAAUUCCAGGUGUAGCGGUGAAAUGCGUAGAUAUCUGGAGGAACACCGGUGGCGAAGGCGGCAUCCUGGACCAACACUGACACUGAGGAGCGAAAGCCAGGGGAGCGAACAGG